ACAGAUCGUUCAGAGUUUGAUCCUGGCUCAGGAUGAACGCUGGCGGCAUGCCUAAGACAUGCAAGUCGAACGAAGUGGCCUCUUGAAAGAUGCGUGCUUGCACAAAUCUGGACGGAGAUUUUCCACUUAGUGGCAGACGGGUGAGUAACACGUGGGUAAUCUACCUCAGAGUUUGGGAUAACGUUUGGAAACGAACGCUAAUACCGAAUGAUUCAUAUUUAGAUAACUAGAUAUGCUAAAAGGAGCUUCGGCUUCGCUUUGAGAUGAGCUUGCGGUGUAUUAGCUAGUUGGUGAGGUAAUGGCUCACCAAGGCAACGAUGCAUAGCCGAGCUGAGAGGCUGAUCGGCCACAUUGGAACUGAGAUACGGUCCAA
RNAcentral lists this ribosomal RNA (373 nucleotides) under uncultured bacterium. Its description in RNAcentral is "bacterial SSU rRNA". It matches the Rfam family "Bacterial small subunit ribosomal RNA", at positions 1 to 334 of the family's 1533-position model. The record is from RNAcentral.